RNAcentral lists this transfer RNA (76 nucleotides) under Buchnera aphidicola (Rhopalosiphum padi). RNAcentral describes it as "tRNA-Gly". It matches the Rfam family "tRNA". Rfam says of the family: Transfer RNA (tRNA) molecules are approximately 80 nucleotides in length. Their secondary structure includes four short double-helical elements and three loops (D, anti-codon, and T loops). Further hydrogen bonds mediate the characteristic L-shaped molecular structure. tRNAs have two regions of fundamental functional importance: the anti-codon, which is responsible for specific mRNA codon recognition, and the 3' end, to which the tRNAs corresponding amino acid is attached (by aminoacyl-tRNA synthetases). tRNAs cope with the degeneracy of the genetic code in two manners: having more than one tRNA (with a specific anti-codon) for a particular amino acid; and 'wobble' base-pairing, i.e. permitting non-standard base-pairing at the 3rd anti-codon position. Lineage: Bacteria; Pseudomonadati; Pseudomonadota; Gammaproteobacteria; Enterobacterales; Erwiniaceae. RNAcentral also lists the same sequence under 4 other names. The record is from RNAcentral.
GCGGGAAUAGCUCAGUCGGUAGAGCACAACCUUGCCAAGGUUGGGGUCGCGAGUUCGAAUCUCGUUUCCCGCUCCA